RNAcentral lists this ribosomal RNA (529 nucleotides) under Deltaproteobacteria bacterium. RNAcentral's name for it is "bacterial SSU rRNA". It matches the Rfam family "Bacterial small subunit ribosomal RNA", at positions 1014 to 1533 of the family's 1533-position model. Lineage: Bacteria; Pseudomonadati; Myxococcota; Myxococcia. The record is from RNAcentral.
GCCCUUCGGGGCUCUAGCACAGGUGCUGCAUGGCUGUCGUCAGCUCGUGUCGUGAGAUGUUGGGUUAAGUCCCGCAACGAGCGCAACCCUUACCCGUAGUUGCCAGCGGGUUAUGCCGGGGACUCUACGGGGACUGCCGGUGAUAAACCGGAGGAAGGUGAGGACGACGUCAAGUCAUCAUGGCCCUUACGCCCAGGGCGACACACGUGCUACAAUGGCCGGUACAAUGGGCCGCGAUCCCGCGAGGGUGAGCCAAUCCCAAAAAGCCGGCCUAAGUUCGGAUCGGAGUCUGCAACUCGACUCCGUGAAGCCGGAAUCGCUAGUAAUCGCGGAUCAGCCAUGCCGCGGUGAAUACGUUCCCGGGCUUUGUACACACCGCCCGUCACGCCAUGGAAGCCGGGGGGACCCGAAGUCAGUGGCCCAACCCUUCGGGGAGGGAGCUGCCGAAGGUCAAUCCGGUGACUGGGGCGAAGUCGUAACAAGGUAGCCGUAGGGGAACCUGCGGCUGGAUCACCUCCUUUCUAAGGAG